Molecule: ribosomal RNA, 292 nt
Filed under: uncultured bacterium
Lineage: Bacteria
Description: partial 16S ribosomal RNA
Rfam family: Bacterial small subunit ribosomal RNA
Source: RNAcentral
GUGUCAGCCGCCGCGGUAAUACGAAGGGUGCAAACGUUGCUCGGAAUCAUUGGGCGUAAAGCGCACGUAGGCGGCCUGUUAAGUCGGAUGUGAAAUCCCUCGGCUCAACCGAGGACGUGCAUUCGAAACUGGCAAGCUCGAGUAUGGAAGAGGGUCGCGGAAUUCCCGGUGUAGAGGUGAAAUUCGUAGAUAUCGGGAGGAACACCAGUGGCGAAGGCGGCGACCUGGGCCAAUACUGACGCUGAGGUGCGAAAGCGUGGGGAGCAAACAGGAUUAGAAACCCUGGUAGUCC